UGGAUGUGGCCUGUGUGUGACGCAUCUGGCCCGUAGGCCGCCAGUUUAACACCCCUGAUCCAGAUUGUCUGUAGCUUCAUUCUUAGAGUCUCUACUGUUUGAACUAACUAAAUACAUUAUUUCAAAGAACAAAAAUUUAAAUUUAUCAGUUUUUCCCACAUAUAUUUAAACAAUUGAACAUGUAAGUGCCUCAUGACUUUUUCAUUCUAGGUACAGGGUUUCACAAAUCUUUUACAGUAAUGAUUUUUUUCUAUACAACUUGAGAAGGAUAUCCACUUCAAUAGAAACUUGUGGCUAUUAAUAAUCUGCUAGAACAUUAGAUUCAACAAGGAACAUGUUUGGUUAAUACAUGUCCCAAUAUAUUAGUAUUAGUAAAAGAUAUUAUUUUGCUGGAAAGAAUGAAAAAGUACACAUUUCCAAGCUUGGCACUUCAUGGAUAUGAUCAAGUGCAAGAAAAAAAAGUGUUAAUAUAAAUGGCUUAUCUGGAUCAUCAGUACCCUAAAACAUGCAUACUGUUCAUAUAUAAAUGUCAUGUUAAACAUGUAAAAUAAAAUUAAAAGUUUACCUAGAAAUAUACUAGCACAGCAAACUGACUUGGCCCUUUCCUCAACAUCAAAGACUAGAAAAUCAGAUUUAAUUAAAUGUUACUAUUUUAUUUGUGAAAAAACUACAAGCAGAAUUCAUAAAUAGACAUUUCUAUUUAAAGCAAGAAAAUGAUAAAGUGGCUUCUAAUAACAGUCGUGCACAUGCCGGUAACAGGAAUAUAUUAACAUCUUUUAUUUGCUAGACAAAGAGCAGUGUCCAAUAUAAAUUUCCCGAAAACAUUUAAGACCUGUGAAUUUUUCUGACCAGUUCACAAAAUCACCAUUGACACUUUUAGCAUGAAGAUUAAAAACAAACCUAACAGGACUGUCAGCUCUAAAGACUUUACAGAGCAGAAAACUUCCAAAGCGUUAUACAAGCUGUCUUUCUGGGCAAAUGAAAAAUAUAGCUCGUAUAAUACAUUAACAUAAAAAUUCACAAGAUAAAAUUAUGUUUUGACAUACUUAAACAAGCAUUCUCUAUUUGUCUCCAAACAAACAAAGCUAAAGAAAUAAUGUAACCAUCUUUACACAGUAAAUUAAGGUUACAAGUCAUACACAAGAACAGAACUGCUUGCGCAUUAAAAACUGUUCAGCUCCAUUGUCGUAUUGUAAAUGUUGGCUCUCAAAUCAUUUUUUUUUUCAGUUACAUACAAGCAAAGGUUAUAUAGUCAGCAAGUAAUAACUUCAAUAAUUUAUGGUAACAGUUUUUAAAAAGUAGACUGGAAAUGGUACUGGUAAGGCAGAUGUAUUUCUAUGAAUAUAGCCACUGCCCAGUUUUAAAAUAGAAACUGAUUUUGAAGAAGCAAAAUGCUUUCAAUUAAAACUGCCCAUCUUAAACAUUUUUGCUUUUCAUUGUUCUCUUUGCAUGACAUAUUUAAAGUAUUCAAACAGAGGAAGUCAAGCAACCUGUUGUGUGUAUGGAUGUGUAUGGGUGUGCAUGUGUGUAUGUAAAAAUUUAACUUUGAAAAUGUAACACUGUGCUUUUUCCUUACCUGCUUUCUGUGCCACUGGCUACAAAGCGUUUCUGGCCCUUCUUAUACACUAAUAUUUUAAAGCAUGCUCUCCAACUACUGAAUAGUUAAAUGAAAUGAAGGAAGUUAAGAUAAUCCAAUUUUCAAAUCUCAUGCUUUUUUUUUUUUAAAAAAAAAGGUGUUUUCUUGGUUACAACACAAUGGUAAAAAAUGUGGCCCAAGAAAAUUUGAAUGCUUAGCUGACAAUUUCAGCCAAAUGCAGUUUCAAUCACUCCACUUGUGCCAAAGAUGGAUUUGCAUACUUUAUUCUAACAAGAUAAUAUAGCACAGAGGCACACAUAGGGGAAAAAAGGAAAAAGAAAACCCAAAGAGGAUUUCACUGAAUUGGUAAGCCAAUGAGCAGCUCAUUAUGGUUAAAGCUUUUAUUCCCUAACCUAAGGGACAGGUUUCAUAAGGAAGAACCCAUUAACCCCUGCUGCUUACCCACUGGAAUGACAGCCUAUGAGAAGCCACCUUGGAAAUGAAUGGAGCAGCAAUGAUUGGAGGGUGGUAUCUGCUGUAACUGGUUUUCUUAAACACGCACACUGCUCUCCCCCGACUUCAACCAAGGCCGUAUUCUAGCAAGCCACAGAGGGAAGCACACCAUUUGUAUAUACUGGUGAACUUCCAGCAGACAUGCUCAGAGAUUGGGUCUUUGCUGGGAAGGAGCUAAAUGCAUACAAGCCUAAUUAAUUUAGAUGUAAGUUUCUUUUUUAAAAAAUCUGUGCAAAUCACACAUAUCUGGGACUAAGUUGAAAACAUCUCUAAAAAUUAUUUUUUUUUCUCCAAAAAUAAAUUAUGGCUGACCAAUUUACCCUCCCUGAGAUCCUUUAAAGGAAUAGUCAAACUUGUAAAAGGAAUGUUUACCAAUGUUAAAAUGUGGAUUGAUGUGGACUAUUAAAAACUACGAUAAUAUUGUAUUAUCAGAGCUUAAGAAACAUCUGUUUUUCCUUUGGUUCUUUUUUAUUUUUCAAUAAAUACUUUAAAAAUAAGUUUUCAAAAAAAAAA
Molecule: non-coding RNA, 2602 nt
Organism: Thamnophis sirtalis
Lineage: Eukaryota; Metazoa; Chordata; Lepidosauria; Squamata; Natricidae
Source: RefSeq, a predicted model, not a curated record